Molecule: ribosomal RNA, 392 nt
Filed under: uncultured bacterium
Lineage: Bacteria
Description: bacterial SSU rRNA
Rfam family: Bacterial small subunit ribosomal RNA
Source: RNAcentral
GACGAACGCUGGCGGCGUGCUUAACACAUGCAAGUCGAGCGGUAAGGCCCUUUCGGGGGUACGACGAGCGGCGAACGGGUGAGUAACACGUGGGUGACCUGCCUCUAGCUCUGGGAUAAGCCUGGGAAGCUGGGUCUAAUACCGGAUAUGACCUCGCGGUGCAUGUUGCGGGGUGGAAAGCCUUGUGCGGCUAGGGAUGGGCCCGCGGCCUAUCAGCUUGUUGGUGGGGUGAANGGCCUACCAAGGCGACGACGGGUAGCCGGCCUGAGAGGCGACCGGCCACACUGGGACUGAGACACGGCCCAGACUCCUACGGGAGGCAGCAGUGGGGAAUCUUGCGCAAUGGGCGAAAGCCUGACGCAGCGACGCCGCGUGAGGGAUGACGGCCUCGG